Molecule: ribosomal RNA, 433 nt
Filed under: uncultured bacterium
Lineage: Bacteria
Description: partial 16S ribosomal RNA
Rfam family: Bacterial small subunit ribosomal RNA
Source: RNAcentral
AACGAACGCUGGCGGCAUGCCUAACACAUGCCAGUCGAACGAGACCUUCGGGUCUAGUGGCGCACGGGUGCGUAACGCGUGGGAACCUGCCCUUAGGUUCGGAAUAACUCCCCGAAAGGGGUGCUAAUACCGGAUAAUGUCUUCGGACCAAAGAUUUAUCGCCUUUGGAUGGGCCCGCGUUGGAUUAGCUAGUUGGUAGGGUAAAAGCCUACCAAGGCGACGAUCCAUAGCUGGUCUGAGAGGAUGAUCAGCUACACUGGGACUGAGACACGGCCCAGACUCCUACGGGAGGCAGCAGUGGGGAAUAUUGGACAAUGGGCGAAAGCCUGAUCCAGCAAUGCCGCGUGAGUGAUGAAGGCCUUAGGGUUGUAAAGCUCUUUUACCCGGGAUGAUAAUGACAGUACCGGGAGAAUAAGCUCCGGCUAACUCCGUG